This 252-nucleotide ribosomal RNA is filed under the name uncultured bacterium. RNAcentral describes it as "partial 16S ribosomal RNA". It matches the Rfam family "Bacterial small subunit ribosomal RNA", at positions 524 to 776 of the family's 1533-position model. The record is from RNAcentral.
UACGUAGGUCCCGAGCGUUGUCCGGAUUUAUUGGGCGUAAAGCGGGCGCAGGUGGUUUAUUAAGUCUGGUGUAAAAGGCAGUGGCUCAACCAUUGUAUGCAUUGGAAACUGGUAGACUUGAGUGCAGGAGAGGAGAGUGGAAUUCCAUGUGUAGCGGUGAAAUGCGUAGAUAUAUGGAGGAACACCGGUGGCGAAAGCGGCUCUCUGGCCUGUAACUGACACUGAGACUCGAAAGCGUGGGGAGCAAACAGG